RNAcentral lists this ribosomal RNA (254 nucleotides) under uncultured bacterium. RNAcentral's name for it is "partial 16S ribosomal RNA". It matches the Rfam family "Bacterial small subunit ribosomal RNA", at positions 524 to 776 of the family's 1533-position model. The record is from RNAcentral.
GACAUAGGGGGCAAGCGUUAUCCGGAAUUAUUGGGCGUAAAGGGUGCGUAGGUGGUUCAUUAAGUUAGUGGUGGCAAAUCGGGGCCCAACCCCGUGGAAGUCGGUAAUACUAUUAAACUAGAGGAUCGGAGAGGUUAACGGAAUUCUAUGUGUAGCGGUAAAAUGCUCAAAUAUAUAGAGGAACACCAAACGGCGAAGGCAGUUAACUAGGCGGUGCCUGACGUUGAGGCACGAAAGCGUGGGGAGCAAGCCGG